GCCCGCGGGCCCGGCGGCGGCCCGGCGCCCGCCUCCGCUUCUCCUCAUGAGGCGGAGGCGGGACGGGGCGCCGGGGGCUGCCGGCGGCCGCCGCUCCUCAGGCACAGGAAAAACUGCGUUUUGUCUUCCCUGCACUGGACUGGACUGGAUUCAGCAAGCGGAGACACUCAACUCUAAGGCAUAG
RNAcentral lists this long non-coding RNA (184 nucleotides) under Anas platyrhynchos (mallard). RNAcentral describes it as "lncRNA (ENSAPLG00020002440.1)". The record is from RNAcentral. Lineage: Eukaryota; Metazoa; Chordata; Aves; Anseriformes; Anatidae.